GCAUAUCAAUAAGCGGAGGAAAAGAAACCAACAGGGAUUGCCCCAGUAACGGCGAGUGAAGCGGCAACAGCUCAAAUUUGAAAUCUGGCCCCCCAGGGUCCGAGUUGUAAUUUGCAGAGGAUGCUUUUGGCGCGGUGCCUUCCGAGUUCCCUGGAACGGGACGCCAUAGAGGGUGAGAGCCCCGUCUGGUCGGACACCAAGCCUCUGUAAAGCUCCUUCGACGAGUCGAGUAGUUUGGGAAUGCUGCUCAAAAUGGGAGGUAUAUGUCUUCUAAAGCUAAAUAUUGGCCAGAGACCGAUAGCGCACAAGUAGAGUGAUCGAAAGAUGAAAAGCACUUUGAAAAGAGGGUUAAAAAGUACGUGAAAUUGUUGAAAGGGAAGCGCCCAUGACCAGACUUGGGCCCGGUGAAUCAUCCGGCGUUCUCGCCGGUGCACUUUGCCGGGCACAGGCCAGCAUCAGUUUGGCGCGGGGGAUAAAGGCGUUGGGAAUGUGGCUCCUCUUGGAGUGUUAUAACCCAUCGCGCAAUACCCUGCGCCGGACUGAGGUACGCGCAUCGCAAGGAUGCUGGCGUAAUGGUCAUCAGCGACCCGUCUUGAAACACGGACCAAGGAGUCGUCUUCGUAUGCGAGUGUUCGGGUGUCAAACCCCUACGCGGAAUGAAAGUGAACGCAGGUGAGAGCUUCGGCGCAUCAUCGACCGAUCCUGAUGUUCUCGGAUGGAUUUGAGUAAGAGCAUACGGGGCCGGACCCGAAAGAAGGUGAACUAUGCCUGUAUAGGGUGAAGCCAGAGGAAACUCUGGUGGAGGCUCGCAGCGGUUCUGACGUGCGAAUCGAUCGUCAAAUAUGGGCAUGGGGGCGAAAGACUAAUCGAACCUUCUAGUAGCUGGUUUCCGCCGA
This 896-nucleotide ribosomal RNA is filed under the name Tolypocladium extinguens. RNAcentral's name for it is "LSU rRNA". It matches the Rfam family "Eukaryotic large subunit ribosomal RNA", at positions 38 to 964 of the family's 3401-position model. The record is from RNAcentral. Lineage: Eukaryota; Fungi; Ascomycota; Sordariomycetes; Hypocreales; Ophiocordycipitaceae.